RNAcentral lists this long non-coding RNA (4300 nucleotides) under Vitis vinifera (wine grape). Its description in RNAcentral is "long non-coding RNA (VVIN_LNC003058)". The record is from RNAcentral. Lineage: Eukaryota; Viridiplantae; Streptophyta; Magnoliopsida; Vitales; Vitaceae.
ACCAAACAGACGAGAUAUAUCUCUAUGUAUAUCUAAGUUUACAAAUAUGUGCGUCUCCCUUCCGAAAACACCUGCUGAUCAUGAAAUCACCAGAAAGGUAAGACAAGCUUUUCUUUGCAGUAAAAUUAAGUUAAAAUGAUACAGACCAAGGACAGAGAGAGAGGUGCUGGGUGGGCAGAGAAGAGAGAGACUUCAGAAACUUGGAAUGGCGAGUUUUUUCAGGUGGGAAUCACUCAUUCAUAUAAAAACACAACACCAAGUUUCAGGUGGGAAUCACCAACCCAUCACUUCUAUCAAUUCCUUUUUCACCCACUUCGAGUAUUUUAUGGAAUUUUUCACCAACCCCCACCAAGUUUGUGGAAUUGUUUUGACUUUCAAGUAUUUUUUAUUGAUAUAUUUUAUUUCAAAGAAAAGCUUGUCUUACCUUUAUGGAGCCUCUGAUAUAAGGAUGGUGUCUUUGCAAUAAAAUUUUAUGGAAUUGAUAUAUUUUUUAAUUAAAGAAUCCCAUGCAUUAAUUUUAUUUAAAUAAAGUUUAUUUACUUAAUAAAAAUAUAUAAUUAUGUGCUAAUCAUAAUUUUAUAUUUUCUAAUUAAUUUCAUUUUCUACAAAUCAAUGGUAAUCUAAUGAGGGCCUACUAUAAUUUCAUUUUCUUGUAUAAAGUAUUACCAUUAGAGGACAAUCCUCUAAUUGUUGAAAAAAGACAAACAUUUCAAUACCAAUUCCUCCUCCUAUCAUUCUUGACACAUAGUCUACAGUUACUAUCACUACACUUUCCAUCAUGGAAGCACCUUUUCCUUUUCACAAAGUCCGUUUCACACUCCACACUAGAUUUAAUAAACCAAUUAUUUAUUAAUCUUCCAAUUGCCCCAACUUCUCUAUCAACACAACCUAUGCCUAACGAUAUAUCCCUCUCCUUCACCAAAACAACCCACACAACUUCCCACUUGCAUUAACACUUAUGGCUAGUCACCUAUCCAAAAAUGAGACAAAAACGUUAUUUGCCUCUCCAUGCUAGCCAUUCUACUCAUAUUGAACCUAGAACUCUUAAAUCAAAACUUAAACAACCUCAUUAGGUGGUUCAUGUGGAGGAAGAAAUAAACAACUAGAGGUUAAAAAUGUCUUCUUAAUUGAUCAUCUCAAGGAAAUGACCCUAAUUUUCCUUCACACGUUUGUUUAAGCAUUUAUCACAAGCUCUUAUUCAACUUGGUUUCUUGAAUACCAAGACUGACUCAUCAGUAUUUAUUUUGCAUACAAGUUCUCUAAUUGUUUUAAUCUUAGUUUAUGUGGAUGACCUCGAACUCUUAAGUCAAAACUUAAACAACCUCAUUAGGUGGUUGAUAUGGAGGAAGAAAUAAACAACUAGAGGUUAAAAAUGUCUUCUUAACUGACCACCUCAAGGAAAUGACACUAAUUUUCCUUCACACGUUUGUCUUCUUAAAUGUUCCCUAAAUGGACCGAAGCAAGCCUCUUAAGUUUGGUUUAAGCAUUUAUCACAAGCUCUUAUUCAACUUGGUUUCUUUAAUACCAAGACUGACUCAUCAUUAUUUAUUUUGCAUACAAGUUCUCUAAUUGUUUUAUUCUUAGUUUAUGCGUAUGAUGUUAUUGUAACAAGUAGAAACCCUUGCUGUAUGAUCCAAUAGAUUAUCACUAGUUUCAACUCUAGAUUUGCUUUAAAGACCUUGGCUACCUAAAAUAUUUCUUGGAAAUUGAAGUCAAAUAUUUUCCAGUUGGUUUCUUAUAGACCUGCAUUUUUCACAAGCGUUCCUACUCGAUGGCGUGACUCGUUUUUUAGUGAAAAAAUAAUUUUAAAAAAGUUGGAGUCACCAUUUAUUUUUGUUUAUUUUUUCAAGGGAAAAUAAAAUAUAAAAUAAAACUUUAAAAAUGAUUCUUUAUUUGGAAAAAUAUGUAUUUGAAAAUCAAAUCCAAAUCCGGGGGUCAAGUUACAUAUCGAGAAGAUAUCAUAAGGUAGCAUUACUCUAAGCCCUAAAUAAAGGUCUCUACUAAUUAAAUUGAGGUAACUAUAAUUGAUUUGUAAAUCAAUGGAUGCUAAGAAUCACCAAAUAUAUAACAAAAUAAUAAUGAAAGCAUAAUUAAAGAUCACUCAAACAAGCCAUGCACACUCAAAGAAGCACAUAAACAAGGAAAGAACGGAAUGUACCUUAUAUCAUGCUAAGUGUUCUUAUAAAAUAACAUAAUGUUAACAAAUAAAGCAUAUCAAGGAAGCAUUCAAAACAAUACAUGCAUACCCAAAGAAUCAAACAAAGGAAAAAAAGAGGAAGUGUACCUUGAUAGCUAGCAAAGCACUUUCAUAAAAUCACUGAGGUUUAGUUCAUAAGUAAUAAUAAUAACAGAUAUAAAAUCAUAGGUAAGACUUGACAAUAGAUACAACAUAUGCAUAUCUCAAAUCAUGAAAUAAAGAGAAGAUAAGGUAUGAACAAGAUGAAACAAAAUACAAUAAACAUGAUUAAAAAUUCAAAAUUGGCUAACAAGUAUUCACUCACAAAAAUUAAUCUAAAUAAAAUAUCAAAUAAGGAAUUCCAAUCCAAAGAAAGGUUCAGAUAAUGUGUAUAAUAUGUUAACAAUGUAAAUCAAUAAUCGAAGGAGCUCAAAAGCAUGCAUAAAGGGGAUCGAAUUAUAAACAACAUAUAGACUAUCAUCAACAAGGCAAAACAAGGGUAUUUACAAAAUAAAUCUUAAAUAAAAACCUAAAAUUGUUAUUUCAUCAAAAUAAAAAAUGGAGAACAUCUUCAAUAUGUCUAGAUCAUAAUAAAAAAUUCCAAAUUGUUUGUUUGAAAUUUUUCUCUCUCAAAAACUGCAGUUUUUUUUUUUUUUUUUUUUUUGGGCCAAAUGAAAUGGGAGUUAGUAAAGAACAAGUUUAAAAGAAAAGGUAAAUUAACCUCAAUAGUAAGUAUCUAUUUAUACAAUUGUUCCAAGCUAAGAGAAUCAAGAUAGAGCUUACAAUUGUUAAAGCACAUAAUAUAUAUUUUAGGUUCAAAUCCUACAAACUCAACCUUUUAGGAAAUUAGUUGUUCAAUAUGAUAUCAAAACUUGGUUUUGGAAUUGGUCUCACCUCUCAUUAUCCGACAAUUUGGUCAAUGGUCUCUUAACCUAGGGCCUGGUGUAUGAGGGGAAUAUUGUUGGGUUUUCCCAUAUCUCUUAUAGAAGGAAUGGGGUGACUCCUUAUUAGUGUGAGGGAAAAUGUCACCCUUUAAGUUAAUUUUUGGGGUGAAAAGGCACAAAAUCACCCAAUAGUAGUAUUCCCAAUAUAUCUUUUUUUUUUUUUUUUUUUUAACUUUAUGAUAUCUUAACCUCAUUUGGUGGGAGGUGAGCCUCAUAUGGUGGCCCACUAUGGUCAGCUUGUUUGAUGAAGUCAAGUGGUAUCAAUACAUGUUUUUUUUUUCCCAAUUCAUUAAGUUCACGUGUAAGCCCGAAAAUAGAAGCUAGGCAUGUAUGAGGGAGAGGGAGGGUGUUAGAGAGAGAGAGAGAGAGGUGGGAGGUGAGCCUCAUAUGGUGGCCCACUAUGGUCACCUUGUUUGAUGAAGUCAAGUGGUAUCAAUACAUGUUUUUUUUCCCAAUUUAUUAAGUUCACAUGUAAGCCCGAAAAUAGAAGCUACACAUGUACGAGGGAGUGGGAGGGUGUUAGAGAGAGAGAGAGAGUAAUCAAACAUAUGGAAACGAAUUAAAUAAGAAAGCUAGCUAUGUAUCCAUGGAAGACAUGUACGUUCAUUUAAAAAGGGGAAUCUAGGAUGCAGAUGACAGAUAAAUAUCUGUUGUGAUAUCAAGACUAGAGAUAGAUGGGAUCAAACCACCUGCAUCCGCCAAAGGAGGUCGCUGCUGGGCUUAACCUGAAACCGGUUUUUCCAGAAAUUCUCACGAGCUGCUUCGACCUCAGCUCGCUCUUCUGUGGUUCCAUAGUCAGGAUCAAACUCCCAUAUCUGUCUUCCCACGAAGUUGUUGGUGCUGUAGAUGUAGGGAUCAUUGCCUCCAUCUGCAACCUUGAGCCUCCACAUUUUCUAACGCACCAAACAGACGAGAUAUAUCUCUAUGUAUAUCUAAGUUUACAAAUAUGUGCGUCUCCCUUCCGAAAACACCUGCUGAUCAUGAAAUCACCAGAAAGGUAAGACAAGCUUUUCUUUGCAGUAAAAUUAAGUUAAAAUGAUACAGACCAAGGACAGAGAGAUAGGUGCUGGGUGGGCAGAGAAGAGAGAGACUUCAGAAACUUGGAAUGGCGAGUUCCAGGUGGGAAUCACUCAUUCAUAUAGAAGCACAACACCAAGUCAGUCACCAACCCCCAUCACUU